UACGUAGGGGGCAAGCGUUGUCCGGAUUUAUUGGGCGUAAAGAGCGUGUAGGCGGCCGCACAGGUCCGUUGUGAAAACUCGAGGCUCAACCUCGAGCUGUCGAUGGAAACCGUGUGGCUAGAGUCCGGAAGAGGAGUGUGGAAUUCCUGGUGUAGCGGUGAAAUGCGCAGAUAUCAGGAAGAACACCUAUGGCGAAGGCAGCACUCUGGGACGGUACUGACGCUGAGACGCGAAAGCGUGGGGAGCGAACAGGAUUAGAAACCCCCGUAGUCC
This 273-nucleotide ribosomal RNA is filed under the name uncultured bacterium. RNAcentral's name for it is "partial 16S ribosomal RNA". It matches the Rfam family "Bacterial small subunit ribosomal RNA", at positions 524 to 796 of the family's 1533-position model. The record is from RNAcentral.